Molecule: long non-coding RNA, 836 nt
Filed under: Danio rerio (zebrafish)
Lineage: Eukaryota; Metazoa; Chordata; Actinopteri; Cypriniformes; Danionidae
Description: lncRNA si:dkey-11e6.6 (ENSDARG00000097348.2)
Source: RNAcentral
AACAGAUACAACUAUAGUGACUGUGAUGAUGAAAAUUUAUUUGGAAAAAAGAGACUGGAAAAGAAAGGCAGAAUGGAGGAUCUUUCAGAAAUUGAUGCAGCACCGCAAGUACCAUCACCACCAAUGACUAUGUUACUUUACGUUCCAGUACCCCUAGGAACAUUUACAGUCCUUGUUCCAGUGCAGUUGGAGAUCAAGACAGAACUUAUUGCAACUCGUCAUGUCUUUCAUUACUGACUGAACUUUUAAAAUCACAAGAGGUCAUAAAGCAGCAACUGGACCUGAUUCUCAAAAAUCAGCAAAAACAAAGCAGUACUCUGCAGCGGGAUGAAACUCCAGAUGCAAGCACAUUUGACCUUCCUUUGUCCAAUUUAUUUGAUUUAGAAAAGCUUGAACAUCAACUAAAGGAGCAGCCCGUACAAAGGAAGAAAUCGGUAAUUUAUUUUACUUAUUGGUAGGUUUUCCACUAAAGAAGCCGUGUGGCGUAUCCUAGGAAAGCUUUUGGUCAACUCCUUGGCUAAACAAAUGAACUGAGUGGGGAAACUGGAGUGGGGCAAACCAAAAAGUGGCUUUUCGUGCACUCACCCUAAGGACUGUCGUAGUCAAUGCAGUGAGGACAAAUGUCCAUACCAACAGCGCCACUGAUAAAGAGGUGGAGAAAUACAUUAAAAGGUGGCUACAACUUGCUCCUGAUAGGGUUGAUGGAAGGAAGGAAAGAGAGCAGCUAAUGUGUCAAAUGUCUAAAUCAAUUUAUUUUUUUAAAUUAUUUUAUUUUAUAACAACAUUUUAAGUGUAUUAAGAUGUUCCCUGAUACUUGGGCAAUUUGUUUCUUUUAC